Long non-coding RNA from Orcinus orca (killer whale), 3808 nucleotides. RefSeq lists it as uncharacterized. Lineage: Eukaryota; Metazoa; Chordata; Mammalia; Artiodactyla; Delphinidae. The record is from RefSeq and is a predicted model, not a curated record. The transcript is spliced from 6 exons.
GUCGAGGGGCCGCUCUCCUCUACGGCAGCUUUCCGUCCUCAGCGCUUCUGAGGGAGCCUUACUGUGUAUUUAAGUGCCGCGCUUCCCGCCACUCCUCGGAACAAGGAGCAGGUUAGCGAGUCCCCACGUUCACAGGCGCCCAACUGUCCGUUGGGGUGGGCCGGCGAGCUUGUUGCGGGGUAUCACCACCAGUUCACAGGAGUUCACGGGACUCCAGUGAGCUCCAGCGCCGACCUGCAUGGAGCUGCCCCGCCGUGCACAGAAGACAGCCCAGGGCGAGGGGAAAGCUCUGCUUUCGCGUACGCACAGCUUAGAGCCUAAAAUGGAACCAGGCCAAAAACUCAGCGGAAAGCUCUGUAGGGACCAUUAGUGAGCGACUCAGAAGCGCCCCCUCGCCUCCACCAACCAAAGGGACUGUCGGGGCCAGACAGCAGGGGACACUCAGAGGCUGGGGAUGACAGGUUGGAAUUGCAAGAAAUGCGACAAGGGUGAGAAACUGGCUCUCAUUUUGAAGCCCGGUACCGGGGGAUCCGGGAUGAGGAAUAUAAACAGGUUCUCGGAGAAGAGGGGCAUCUUGUACUUCAGUUCCCCAAAACUGGUCCUCUGGGGUGUCGAGAGGCCGGGCGGCCAGGGAGAAAACGCAGCCUGCGUCCAUCGGCUUGGAUCCGAACGGUACACAAAGUCAAGCCUCCACCCAGGUCUGACGCGGACUCCGCGGGCCCGGGGGGUGUGGUCUUGUCGCCACAGGGUUGGGGAAUUAUGCAAACCUGGCCCUUUCUUCAGCGAGUUGCUCCGCUCGGCCACGUGGACUUGACCGCGCCGAGAGGCCAGGGAAUCCCGCCGCCCUGCGCUGACCUGGGCUGCGGGGGUCGGCGCCCUGGGCUGCCCGCAGAUAAGGGCUUGACUUUUAUUCCUGCGCUCCAAGGACACGUGCCCGAGGCAGCUCCGGGCCUCAGCGAAAUCUGCCCUCGGGUUCUCCUGUGGGCUUCAUCCCUUCCUAGGACCCAAGACCCGGGCCUGCGCAGGAAUGUGCGCGGCGACCUUGCUUUUUCUGCCUACUCCUGGACUCCCCAUCCCACCCCGCAUCCAGAAAUUGUGGGAAACGCGCGACUGACUGUACAGAGGCCGUAGAGGCCCCGGGCCCUGCGCUGCCAACCCCGGGGACCGCCCUGGCCGCAGAUUCGCUCCUGUGGGCUUCGGGGCAGAGACUCAGGAGCAGCGCUCAUCAGACGGGGAUCCGCCCAGCAGCAGAAAGGUAAACGCUUGAAAACCCGCGAGAGGAGCCGGGUCCUGCGAGUGAGGAUUCAUUCUGUGGCCUGGAGUAGGGUUGCAGGUUAAGAGCCCGGAAGGAGAAAGGCGCACUUGCCUGUGGAUCUCCGGCACAAGGAUACUGGAUAGUUUACAGGAUCAACAGGAAGGCUGAAGAAUCGAGGAAAAUCAUUUCAGGAAACACCACAAGGUCACACGCAGGAAAGCCUGGCGCUGUAUAUGAGGAAGAUGUGGCUGCCCCCAGGAACAGAGAAGAAAAUGCUAGUUUUUCUACCAAUAUCCAUGAUCCCGUUCUUUCUUCAGCACACCUGAGUUUUAUAGCGGGCGCAUGGUCACACAGCUGAAGAUUAUACUUCCCAACAUCCUUGCAGCUAAGAUACCCUCAACGGCUUCCGCUGACUCUGGGAAAUGUGCCCCAAGCUUUGAAGAACGGCCCUCACCCCCCUCAGAGUCCAGGACAGAAGGGGAAGGGGCUCUAAAUGCAUCUGACUCUGACACAUUCCCUGGGUCAGAAUUUCUUUCCAGGACACCCUGGAGUCAGGUGCCCUUCCUCUGCUUGAGGCCUUCCCUGAAGUGAUCCAUCGGGCCCCAGUUUAGCUUCUCGCCAAGGCCUGCAAAUUACUGAGACUGUGAUGCCCCAAACUUGUGGGAUCCUCCCUCGGCACCAUCCCCGUAUUCGGAGGCUUGACCCAGAGGUCUCAUUCCCUCCCGGCUCUCACCCUCCGCGUUCAAUCCGGAGUCCGUCUGGAGGGAAGGGAAGACCUGAAGAGGCCGAGGGCACCUGCUGCCAGCUGCGCAAGCGUUAAUCCCACCCAGCCGUCCAGAGAUCGAGAUCCGAUGAGGGGCGAUAGAAACUGUCACGCGCCGGCAGCCUCACGAAGUGCGGAACGCGGUCUGGCCUGGCGGACUGGAACUCCUAGACUGGAGUAUUACUUAUCGGAGCUGCGUCUGACACCGGCCCGACACCUCGUAAAAUAAGGAACUGCGCCUCCUGGCCUCACCAGGCGCCGCCCGCAGGACCCCGGGUCGGAGAAGGCGGAGCAGGGAAAGCCGAGCCAGCCGGAUCGUGGGGCCAGGCCCAGCCCGUCCGCGCCCCGCGGGGUCCCGGGCCGGGAGAGCAGAACCUGCCCGCGUCCUGGGACUUGGCAAGCAGGGCCGAGGCCCCGGACCCAACCGGGAAGGAAGAGGCAGAGCCGGGCCGCUUCUCUUGGGCAGCCGGGAACCGAAAGCGGGUCUGCAGAGAGGCUAGAGUCCUGAGCACGCAGGCCUGCGACGGCCCCAGGCUAUAAAGUAACUCCGCCACAGGGCUGGAGGCCAGGAGGGUCCCAAACCUUAACGAACCUCGCCCUGAGAAUGGGCGCAGGGCCCACAGCCCCUCACAUGAUCCACGCCACCCUUGUACAUACACUCACACUCGGAGAACAAACACGUAAUGCACACGCCCGGCUCCCACGGAGCGCACACAUGCAGUGCACACACCACGCACAGCCGCACCCGAGGCAGGCCCGGCCGGCGCCUGUUAUGAGACCAGGGCCUGCACUUGGAUUCGAGGCCCUCUCCCAUCACAGGUCCCCGCUGAAGCACCCGAAGCGUGGCUAAGGCCAUCCCAGCGCCCUGGGCGGCGUACGGGUAGCUGCUCUCAUCAGAGCCGGGAUUGCCUGGGAGAGGGUGGGCUAGAGCCCAGGCCUCCCUGGACCCCCAACUCCUCACUCCCAUCUCCAGACAAGCUCUUCAGCCCUUGCCCUCGGUCGUCGCCGCCUCCCUGCGCGAUGGGGCCGGGAAACUAGCCCCGCGCCGCGUUGCCCGCUCGGACCGAGUCGGGAUGCCACGGCCACAUGCGCUGUCGGCCGGGUUCCGGAAGCCCACCGGCAGCCUGGCGGAGGCAUCGAAUCCAGCACAGACGAGAAGACUGCGGGGCGGCUGGAAUCCGCUUCCCCAAAGGUGUGGGACCCAGCGCAGCGCGCUCUCUCCAGGGCUCCUUGGGGUCAAGCCCUGGGCUCCACGUUCGCCUCUCUCCCCUUCCCUCCGACAACGGUGCGGUCCCUCCUUCUGCCCGCCCUCGUUCUGGCCUAUAGAAACAACGAAUUCCUCCUCAUCUUUCAAGGCCUGGGUCCAAAGCCACCUCCUCCGUGAAGCCCGCACUACCCCGGGCCCUAAGUCGGUUCUCUAAGCUCUGCAAAGGGCACUUCCCUGUCCCUCGGUCCAGGUCUCCUAUCUGCGCUGGGGUGCGGCGGGUCUCGUCUGCUAGACUGGGAGCUCCUUGAGGGUAGGAACUGGAUCUGAUUCGUUCCCAUUUCCCCAGCCCCCAGCGUGGCCUGGCGCAGAAAAGAGGCACAACAAACAUUUGCUGAAUUGAAUGGAUUUCCCCCUUUAUUUUAUUAAUCCUUCCCCUUCCUUCUUUCCUUCCUUCUUUUCCUUCUUCCUUCCUCCCUCGUUACUUUUUAUUUCUUGGUUAUAUUCAAUUGUCAUGUUUUUCAGGCUCAUUAAAUCCAUUUAGAGACAAAAGAAUAAAAGGCAGAAGGGGAAGGAGGGGGAGGAG